GACGAACGCUGGCGGCGUGCCUAAUACAUGUAAGUAGAACGCUGAAGGAGGAGCUUGCUUCUCUGGAUGAGUUGCGAACGGGUGAGUAACGCGUAGGUAACCUGCCUGGUAGCGGGGGAUAACUAUUGGAAACGAUAGCUAAUACCGCAUAAGAGUAGAUGUUGCAUGACAUUUGCUUAAAAGGUGCAAUUGCAUCACUACCAGAUGGACCUGCGUUGUAUUAGCUAGUUGGUGGGGUAACGGCUCACCAAGGCGACGAUACAUAGCCGACCUGAGAGGGUGAUCGGCCACACUGGGACUGAGACACGGCCCAGACUCCUACGGGAGGCAGCAGUAGGGAAUCUUCGGCAAUGGACGGAAGUCUGACCGAGCAACGCCGCGUGAGUGAAGAAGGUUUUCGGAUCGUAAAGCUCUGUUGUAAGAGAAGAACGAGUGUGAGAGUGGAAAGUUCACACUGUGACGGUAUCUUACCAGAAAGGGACGGCUAACUACGUG
This 495-nucleotide ribosomal RNA is filed under the name uncultured bacterium. RNAcentral describes it as "partial 16S ribosomal RNA". It matches the Rfam family "Bacterial small subunit ribosomal RNA", at positions 28 to 507 of the family's 1533-position model. The record is from RNAcentral.